UACAGAGGUGGCAAGCGUUGUUCGGAAUUACUGGGCGUAAAGGGCGCGUAGGUGGCCUUCUUAGUCAGACGUGAAAUCCCUGGGCUUAACUCAGGAACUGCGUCUGAUACUGGAAGGCUCGAGUUCGGGAGAGGAAUGUGGAAUUCCAGGUGUAGCGGUGAAAUGCGUAGAUAUCUGGAGGAACACCGGUGGCGAAGGCGGCAUCCUGGACCGACACUGACGCUGAGGAGCGAAAGCCAGGGGAGCAAACGGG
This 253-nucleotide ribosomal RNA is filed under the name uncultured bacterium. RNAcentral's name for it is "partial 16S ribosomal RNA". It matches the Rfam family "Bacterial small subunit ribosomal RNA", at positions 524 to 776 of the family's 1533-position model. The record is from RNAcentral.